This 243-nucleotide ribosomal RNA is filed under the name uncultured bacterium. RNAcentral describes it as "partial 16S ribosomal RNA". It matches the Rfam family "Bacterial small subunit ribosomal RNA", at positions 90 to 334 of the family's 1533-position model. The record is from RNAcentral.
GGCGACCGGCGCACGGGUGAGUAACACGUACCCAACCUCGUCCUUACUCGGGGAUAGCCUUUCGAAAGAAAGAUUAAUACCCGAUAGCAUAAUGAUUCCGCAUGGUUUCAUUAUUAAAGGAUUCCGGUAAAGGAUGGGGAUGCGUUCCAUUAGGUUGUUGGUGAGGUAACGGCUCACCAAGCCUUCGAUGGAUAGGGGUUCUGAGAGGAAGGUCCCCCACAUUGGAACUGAGACACGGUCCAA